GCAGUCGAGCGGACAGAUGGGAGCUUGCUCCCUGAUGUUAGCGGCGGACGGGUGAGUAACACGUGGGUAACCUGCCUGUAAGACUGGGAUAACUCCGGGAAACCGGGGCUAAUACCGGAUGCUUGUUUGAACCGCAUGGUUCAGACAUAAAAGGUGGCUUCGGCUACCACUUACAGAUGGACCCGCGGCGCAUUAGCUAGUUGGUGAGGUAACGGCUCACCAAGGCGACGAUGCGUAGCCGACCUGAGAGGGUGAUCGGCCACACUGGGACUGAGACACGGCCCAGACUCCUACGGGAGGCAGCAGUAGGGAAUCUUCCGCAAUGGACGAAAGUCUGACGGAGCAACGCCGCGUGAGUGAUGAAGGUUUUCGGAUCGUAAAGCUCUGUUGUUAGGGAAGAACAAGUGCCGUUCAAAUAGGGCGGCACCUUGACGGUACCUAACCAGAAAGCCACGGCUAACUACGUGCCAGCAGCCGCGGUAAUACGUAGGUGGCAAGCGUUGUCCGGAAUUAUUGGGCGUAAAGGGCUCGCAGGCGGUUUCUUAAGUCUGAUGUGAAAGCCCCCGGCUCAACCGGGGAGGGUCAUUGGAAACUGGGGAACUUGAGUGCAGAAGAGGAGAGUGGAAUUCCACGUGUAGCGGUGAAAUGCGUAGAGAUGUGGAGGAACACCAGUGGCGAAGGCGACUCUCUGGUCUGUAACUGACGCUGAGGAGCGAAAGCGUGGGGGAGCGAACAGGAUUAGAUACCCUGGUAGUCCACGCCGUAACGAUGAGUGCUAAGUGUUAGGGGUUUCCGCCCCUUAGUGCUGCAGCUAACGCAUUAGGCACUCCGCCUGGGGGAGUACGGUCGCAAGACUGAAACUCAAGGAAUUGACGGGGGCCCGCACAAGCG
This 891-nucleotide ribosomal RNA is filed under the name Bacillus amyloliquefaciens. Its description in RNAcentral is "bacterial SSU rRNA". It matches the Rfam family "Bacterial small subunit ribosomal RNA", at positions 57 to 931 of the family's 1533-position model. The record is from RNAcentral. Lineage: Bacteria; Bacillati; Bacillota; Bacilli; Caryophanales; Bacillaceae.